Molecule: ribosomal RNA, 806 nt
Filed under: uncultured bacterium
Lineage: Bacteria
Description: bacterial SSU rRNA
Rfam family: Bacterial small subunit ribosomal RNA
Source: RNAcentral
GAAUUCGCCCUUAGAGUUUGAUCCUGGCUCAGGAUGAACGCUGGCGGCGCGCCUAACACAUGCAAGUCGAACGAGCGAGAGAGAGCUUGCUUUCUCAAGCGAGUGGCGAACGGGUGAGUAACGCGUGAGGAACCUGCCUCAAAGAGGGGGACAACAGUUGGAAACGACUGCUAAUACCGCAUAAGCCCACGACCCGGCAUCGGGUAGAGGGAAAAGGAGCAAUCCGCUUUGAGAUGGCCUCGCGUCCGAUUAGCUAGUUGGUGAGGUAACGGCCCACCAAGGCGACGAUCGGUAGCCGGACUGAGAGGUUGAACGGCCACAUUGGGACUGAGACACGGCCCAGACUCCUACGGGAGGCAGCAGUGGGGAAUAUUGCACAAUGGGGGAAACCCUGAUGCAGCGACGCCGCGUGGAGGAAGAAGGUCUUCGGAUUGUAAACUCCUGUUGUUGAGGAAGAUAAUGACGGUACUCAACAAGGAAGUGACGGCUAACUACGUGCCAGCAGCCGCGGUAAAACGUAGGUCACAAGCGUUGUCCGGAAUUACUGGGUGUAAAGGGAGCGCAGGCGGGAAGACAAGUUGGAAGUGAAAUCCAUGGGCUCAACCCAUGAACUGCUUUCAAAACUGUUUUUCUUGAGUAGUGCAGAGGUAGGCGGAAUUCCCGGUGUAGCGGUGGAAUGCGUAGAUAUCGGGAGGAACACCAGUGGCGAAGGCGGCCUACUGGGCACCAACUGACGCUGAGGCUCGAAAGUGUGGGUAGCAAACAGGAUUAGAUACCCUGGUAGUCCACACUGUAAACGAUGAUUA